This 574-nucleotide ribosomal RNA is filed under the name Thelephora cf. penicillata NAMA503. RNAcentral describes it as "eukaryotic LSU rRNA". The stretch from base 180 to 334 matches the Rfam family "5.8S ribosomal RNA". The record is from RNAcentral. Lineage: Eukaryota; Fungi; Basidiomycota; Agaricomycetes; Thelephorales; Thelephoraceae.
GUGGUUCCCCAAAUGGGGGCAUGUGCACGCUCUGUUCACACAUCCACUCACACCNGUGCACCCUCUGUAGUUCUAUGGCCAGGGGGGCCUUGCCCUCCUGCUGUGGUUCUGCAUCUUUACACACACACACUGUAACAAAGUCUCAUGGAAUGUACACCGCGUUUAACGCAAUACAAUACAACUUUCAGCAACGGAUCUCUUGGCUCUCGCAUCGAUGAAGAACGCAGCGAAAUGCGAUAAGUAAUGUGAAUUGCAGAAUUCAGUGAAUCAUCGAAUCUUUGAACGCACCUUGCGCCCUUUGGCCAUUCCAAAGGGCAUGCCUGUUUGAGUAUCAUGANUACCUCAACUCCUCAUGGUUUGCCGUGAUGAGCUUGGACUUUGGGGGUCUUGCUGGCCUGCAGUCAGCUCCUCUCAAAUGAAUCAGCUUUCCAGUGUUUGGUGGCAUCAUGGGUGUGAUAAAUGUCUACGCUUGUGGUUUUCCACCAGGAAACCUUCAGCAAUGGAGGUUCGCUGGNGCUCACAAAUGUCUCUCCUCAGUGAGGACAGCUCUCUGAACAUUGAUCUCAAAUCAGGA